AGAGCCUACAUAUUCAGCCUCUUGUUUCCACUGAACUGAAUAGCAUCAUGUCUGAAACAAACGGACUAUCUAGCUGUGCUUAUGCACAAAGUCAGACUCUGAAUGGAUAUGGCCUUUCCACAAGAGAAGCAGAGGCUUGACUCUGAGAGGGAGGCUGUGUUGCAGAAGCUGCAAAAGCUGCAACAAAAUUAUUGAAAUCCUGGAACACGCUGACUUCUAGGAACUGGAAUUACAAAGAAAGCCUGGCUGUGGGUGUAGCCAAUUAUGCUUAUUGAGGCUGUUCUGUUUUCUCUCUAUCUUGGUACGUAUGUAGCCCCAGUUACUGUUGUAUCUGAGUCUCUCACAACCAGUAAUAGAAUUCAUGCUCACAGCCCUGUGAGUAGACAGGAAGAACUAUUAUUCUCAUCGUACAGACGAGAAACUGAGACACAGAAGGACAACCUUGGCCAAGUUCACUCAGGAAGUCUCUGGCAGUGGAGGGGAACCAGGACUUCUGAGUCCCAGGACCUGUGGGCCCAAAUGCAGGAGGAAGAGUGGAGAGGCAGAAGCUCUCCUGCACACCCAGUGUUUGGGAACAGCAGCAGAAGCAAGAAACCCUGCCAUAAAGGACACACAGUAUCAGUGACAGAGCUGGGAAUGGAAUUCAGCUGUCCUCUGCCCUAACAAUUGAACAACAGAAAUCUGUAGAUGAGGAAAUCCAUGUCAUACCAUACUUGAAAUGACUAAGAUCUGGGCCUCAAUAAUUAAGGACCUUCUACAUCAGAUGAAAGUUUCUGCUGACAGAGACCAUCUUUUGGAUGCAAAGGAUGAUCAGGAUGAUCCUGGAAGGUCAUUGGAAUCUCAGGAGAAUCAGCAGACAGAAGCAGUCAUUCCACACCUACAAGAUAUAAACAACAUUAUCUAGCCAGGAAGCACAGGUGAGAAGUGAUGGGCAAAAGCAGUUCCAAGAAUACGUAAAAGAGGUCAUUCAGAUGAUGUUCCUAUUUCCCUUUCCUUCUAAAAGUGCCUAACUCAUUCAUCUUAUGCAGAGAUAGUUCCCCUCUGGAAAGACUGUAAAUGUAUAAAUUAUGUAGCAGACCUGGCAGAAUAAGUAUUUUUGUAUAAUGCUGUGGAAGAUCUGCAGCAUAAGUAUCUUCAGUGUAAGUCUUAUUUGCAUGUUUAUCCAGUGGCCUUUGGGAUUUGUGUAACCCACACAGAGUUCUGGGAGGACCAUAGACUGAUUAGUGUUUAUGGGAGGCAGUAUUGUCCAGGCUGCUGCUGAUGUACUGGUUGACUUUCCUUAAAGUUGCAAGUAUUUUCUCUUCAGGUUCCUGUGCAGUGGUAUCCCAAUACCUUUUUGUGUCAUCUGAGCAAAGUCUGAUACGAGAAAAUAUUGAAAUGAUGUACCCUAUAGCAACGGUGUGCCUUAUGUACAGUGUCUGUAUUUAUUAAUAAUGUAAUCUAAAAUGCUGGGUCUAAUUUUGUUACUUGUCUCAAGAAAGAAACAGUGCAUAUGAGACUGAAAAAGUAUAGAAAAGGGUAGCAAAGUUAGAGGUACGAUGGGACUUGGGUUUAAUGAGAAAAUGUUUUAAAAAACCCCCAGAAUUAUUUACUCUGGAAAGGAGAAGAUUUAGUGAGGACUUGAUUGAUUUUGAUGGGUAUAGUAUAAACAGAUCAAUCUGUUCUUUUCACCCUGCUGCAUAAUACAAGUACAUAGGGAUGCUUGUCUAAAUUAAAGGGCAGUAAAUUUGAAAGCAAAAGGGAAAUAUCCCCCCCCAUAUAGUAAGCCUGUGAUAUGCACCGUUGCAAGAGGUCAUUCAGACAGAUUGUGUGGCUAGAUUUAAAUGAACCUGUGCUGCAUGAAAAAGGAGCAGAGAAUAUUUUCUACAAGGCAGCAAUGGAGUUCUUUACCUAGCUCUCCUCUUUAGCUGGUUAGAGAGUAAAUUGAUAAGCUCUUAAAAACAAUGAUUGCAUUUUUUUUUACAGUCCACAGUGUCUAAAGUCUGGUAGUUUAAACAAGGAGUCCCAAUGUGUCUCAUGAUGGGGAGAUCAGACUUAAUGAAAGUGGCCUCCACCCUAUUGUUACAACUAGAUUUCAAAUGAAUAUUGGCUCUUCUUGCCAGCUGGAAGUAUUAGAGAUGUCUCAAUACUCAUCCCUUGCUUAUAUACCCAGUGUAAGUAAUGUAAUUCUAAUUGUACCAUAUAUAAAUUGACACAAGAUUACUGAAAGUAAUUGUGUGAGUUACUAUGUGUGUAUGUACAACAUAUUUAUGGGUAUGUUAUGUUUACAUUCUCAAUGUAUAAUCUACUUUUCCUGUUCUACUAUGGAAAUUUUCUGUACCAUCUGCUCAUCAACAGUUGCUAUGUCUUGGUUUAUACCACCAGUUCCCAUAACUGAUUUAAUAGUAUAUUUGUGGCAAUGUAAUUCCUUUCAUUAGUGUUCCUAACAUGCAGUUAAAUAUUUCACAAUGUAUUGCUUUUUUGUGACUGUUAAUUUAUCAUAUGAUGUGCUAAUUAAUGUUAGGCUUGGCUCCAUGUCUGUGAAUCAGGUUCUUCAUUUAUAACUAGCAGAAACAAUGUUGUUUAUCCAU
Caretta caretta (loggerhead turtle) is the source of this 2570-nucleotide non-coding RNA. The record is from RefSeq and is a predicted model, not a curated record. Lineage: Eukaryota; Metazoa; Chordata; Testudines; Cheloniidae.